UCUGAGUCUGCCCGCUCUCCCGCUGAGAGCAUUCUAUCCCUUCAUAAACCUUCAUCCUACAUCCUUGGCCUCCGUGUCUCCUCUCUGAAUUCUUUCCACAAGUGUCAAUGAGACCUGUAACUCAUGUUCACCAUAGAAAGUGCAGGAGGGAAGGGACUGAACAGACGCAGUUAUAGUCCCCAAGCAAUUGAGUUUACGUGACGCAAAAGGGAGCUGUCCUUUGUGGCCCCACGGGUCCUCCGAAGUCGCCCAGCAGCGCAGGCUCUCUGCUGGCCUGGAGCUGCCGGGAGAUGGGCUCUGUGGCUUUUUCCACUUAGCAUUCUGUUGUGAGAUUCCUAAGCUGCUGGGUGUGGCAGUAGAGGAUUCUUUUUCAUUUCCAUGUGGUGUUCUAUCAGGUGACUAUGCCAACAUUUCUGUGUCUGUUCUGCUGUUAAUGGGUGUUAAUCAUGCUUGUUUACAGGUUUGACGCCCAUGGCUGAUACAGGUGGGAACAUUCGCGGGCAUUUAUCUUGGGAACGUAUUUCUCUUGAACUUUCUGAGGACUUCAAGCCUGGGAGGCAGCCUCUCAGAAGAGCUCUGAGGGACGGCUCGGAAGAGGGCUGAUGUAUGUAUGUAUGUAUUUUCGGCCUCACACACAGCAUGCGGAAUCUUAAUUCCCUGACCAGGGAUCAAACGUGUGCCCUCUACAAUGGAAGCCAGAGUCCUAACCACUGGACCACCAGGGAAUUUCCAAAAGAUUAUUGUCAAUUAAAGAAAACCAGGGAACCGCUGACUGAAACUGCCCGCCGCGGCCAGGCAUGACAGUAACUGCUUGCGUGAGUUGUCUCACAAAGGGAGGUGCCAACAAGGAAGACGGUGCUGCCACAGAACCCAAACCAGGACAAUUCGGGAGGGGCCAAAAGGAGGGAGGAGACGCCAGCCCAUAAUAUGUCCUGCCGGCCUCCCAGAAACCCUCCGACUGGGAUCCAUCUCGACUCAGAGAUGCGCGCACCGCCAGGAGGGGCCCCGAGCCAGACCAGACAUGGGCACGAGGAGGGUGACUGGCCAGAGACGGCCCGGAAACUAGCCCCGUCGCCACACAACCCGAGAGCGCGAGCCCCGCGGCGGGGCGCUCCUCCUGGGCUCCCUCGCCCUCCACCCUCCGCCCGGGCACCCCUUCCCAAUACAGUCUCUUGCUUUUGUCAGCACGUGUGUCUCCUCAGACAAUUCAUCUCCACGUGUUAGACAAGAGCCCCCUCCCGGGCCCUGGAAGGGGUCCCCUUUCCUACAACACUAUCAUUUACUUAAAGGAUUUGUAUGAAAAUAUUUUUGUCAUUGCCAAUUUGCCUCAACUUUCAUUUCUGCCAUAUUUUGCUGAAACAUUUCAAAGCUGUUACUAGAUGUGUAUAAAGGUAGGAUUGACAUAUCUUUGUAUUAUGUUGACCAUUUUAUCACUAUGAAAUACCUUUUAGUCAUAUUUCUUGCCUUAAAGUAUACUUUUAUGGCAUUAAUUGGGUGAAACAAGAUUUCUUUGGAUUACUGUCAGCAUGGUG
Molecule: long non-coding RNA, 1532 nt
Organism: Hippopotamus amphibius kiboko
Lineage: Eukaryota; Metazoa; Chordata; Mammalia; Artiodactyla; Hippopotamidae
Exons: 4
Source: RefSeq, a predicted model, not a curated record